RNAcentral lists this transfer RNA (65 nucleotides) under Tessaratoma papillosa. RNAcentral describes it as "tRNA-Pro". Lineage: Eukaryota; Metazoa; Arthropoda; Insecta; Hemiptera; Tessaratomidae. The record is from RNAcentral.
CAGUAAAUAGUUUAAAUAAAAAAUUUUAAUUUUGGAGAUUAAUGAUGGGCUUAGCCUUUUACUGA